This 76-nucleotide transfer RNA is filed under the name Bacillota bacterium. Its description in RNAcentral is "tRNA-Trp". It matches the Rfam family "tRNA". Rfam says of the family: Transfer RNA (tRNA) molecules are approximately 80 nucleotides in length. Their secondary structure includes four short double-helical elements and three loops (D, anti-codon, and T loops). Further hydrogen bonds mediate the characteristic L-shaped molecular structure. tRNAs have two regions of fundamental functional importance: the anti-codon, which is responsible for specific mRNA codon recognition, and the 3' end, to which the tRNAs corresponding amino acid is attached (by aminoacyl-tRNA synthetases). tRNAs cope with the degeneracy of the genetic code in two manners: having more than one tRNA (with a specific anti-codon) for a particular amino acid; and 'wobble' base-pairing, i.e. permitting non-standard base-pairing at the 3rd anti-codon position. Lineage: Bacteria; Bacillati; Bacillota. RNAcentral also lists the same sequence under 1 other name. The record is from RNAcentral.
AGGGGAGUGGCUCAAUUGGCAGAGUGGCGGUCUCCAAAACCGUUGGUUGCAGGUUCGAAUCCUGUCUCCCCUGCCA